Molecule: long non-coding RNA, 3940 nt
Organism: Tympanuchus pallidicinctus (lesser prairie-chicken)
Lineage: Eukaryota; Metazoa; Chordata; Aves; Galliformes; Phasianidae
Exons: 6
Source: RefSeq, a predicted model, not a curated record
AAUGCAACUGUCCCAGAAAUGAUUGCAGCAGUUCACUAUGUUUAAAGUUAUCUAUCUUCUUUGCCAUCUCUAUUGACUGGAAACCCAGUGCAGACACUUCAGCUUGAGAAGAGCUUCAAGGUUGUCUUUCAGGGCCUUCAGAACAGCAGUGGAUGGACCUGGAAGAUCCUACCAUUCCCAAGGAAUGACCCCUGGGGACUAAGUGAGUGAUCAGCUGAUGGAUGCUUCAUUACUGGUGAGAGGCAACCUGCCACAGACUGAAAUCACUCUAAUGGAAGUAUGAUUAGGAUCCCUUCACAAUGAUCUGUCCUCAGGGCACUCAUCCAGAGAACCACUUCAUCUUGAGAGGAUGAAGUGGGAACAACAUCUCUAACACCUGUCUAUCACUGAAUUACACCUUCUUGUCCUGGGGACUGCUCCUGAGAGAUACAGGCCUGAAGCGAACUUCACUGGGCCAUUCUAAAUACCACAGAUGUCCUGCAUCCCUAUGCUAUACCAGAAAUGAUGUUUUCCUUCCAGGAACCACUCACUUUGGUAAAGACAGAGAAUAUUUACGGCUAGAUUUGAAAACCAAAAGUCAAAAAGCAGACUACAGCACCUGUCCAGAAAUGAAACUCUAAUCUCCAUAAAAUCAUAGAAUGGGUUGGGUUGGAAGACAAUCUGGUUCCAACCAUUCCAACCCCCUGCCACAGACAAGGGACAUCUUCUGCCAGAUCAGGAUGCCCAGGGCCCCAUCCAACCUGGCCUUGAACACUUCAAGCAUGGACCAUCCAUAGCUUUUCUGGGCAACUUGUUCUAGUGCCUCUCCACCCUGAUACCUCAAUGUACUGAGAGGCUGCAAUGAGGUCUCUCCAGAGCCUUCUCCAGGCUAAAAAACUGCAGCACUCUCAGCUCUCUUCACAGGAGAGGUGCUCGAACCCUGCAACCUUCCUGAAGGAACUCAGAAGGUAGAUUCCCAUCCAGGAGGCUUGUUUUCCAUUACUAACAGGAAUGAUCUGAUUUGAUUUACAAGAUCCAGCUGAACUACGUCAGAGACAAGCUAUGUGAAAUCCCUUGCAAGGAACCUAAACCAAUGGACCCAGGCUGAUAACAGUUAUUGAAAACUCAAGUUAAAAGCUCUCCGACAAACAAGAAGCUUGCGCCGAGGCUGAGAAUCACAGAAUCACAGAACUUAACAGAAGUAAUUGAAGUAACUGAAACACAUGGAAACCUUUAUUCCUCUCAUGUGAAGCAUGAGUGGUAGCAGCAAAUCUAUGGAUAUCUGCAGAUACCAUCAGACUAGGAUGUCCCUUUGUUUAAGUCCAGGGUAAUGACAGGGGGGUUUCAGCUUCAAUGGGAAAAGCACAUUCAGUGCAACACAUACAUCUACCACUGAAAACAAAUAACUAUUGCUCAAAGGCAAACUAGUCAAUUUAGAAUACACAUGCUGAGAAGUAAGAAGUUCUGCCAAGCCUUUUUCCAAAGGAACCAUUCAUGGCCCUGAUUUCUCUCUUUUAGGUCAAUUUCUGACAUCUCCUUCAACAACUAGACCCUAAAGCACAGAAAACAAAAGUUUCCAUGUUCAUGACUAAAAUUCAGAGGAGAAGAAUGGCAACAAAGGGCAACCCAGAGAAGACAGAAUAACUUUAAUUAAAUAAAUAAAAUUAAAUAAGCCUGCCUACACUAUAGUAUCUAUGCAGUAUUAAAAUUCAUGUCAGCUGAUAUCCUUCAUUUCAUAGCUCUUUUCCCUCAACACUCUUUAUAUUAUAAAAUAAUUUUGUUUUAAGAAAUCAUUCGAUGUGGGAUUUUUGUUUUCUUUAAUUGGCAUUCCGAACAUCAUAUAAAGUGAAUGGAUUUUUAAAGCAAAGGAAUACACUAAAGCUGCCAACAGUGCCACAGAUUAAUGAGAGACAUGAGUAUAUCCACAGAGAGCUCAGUAUACAGCUGAAUAUUGUACUGCCUUGGAAAUAUGGAAAAUGUGAUUCAUAGAGUCAUAGAAUCCUCAGAGCUGGAGGAGAGCUUUCAUGUAGUCGAGCUCCACUGCAGUGAAUGGGGACAUGCACAGCUACAUCAGGGUGCUCAGAACCUGGUCCAGUCUGGCCUUGGGAUGUAACCACUACACUGAAGAUGUGCAGGCUUUUUUAUAUUUUAUUAUAUUUCUUAUUUUUAAGAAAAUGUGAUCUUCCUAUAAGCUACUUGGGUUCAAAACUUUUUUGAAAUGUAGGACUGACUCAGCCACUACAUGCAAUAUUCCCCUGCCCAAUAAAAGCAGCAAACAACACCAUCUACCCUUGGAGAAUCACACCCUGGCUGCUUUUCAAAGUCAAAAAGCAGGCACCACGGCCUGCUAUUGCCAGCACGUGGCUGGUGACACCUGCUUCAUUAGAUGACAAGGACAUCUCAUUUGUAAUCAGAAGCUAAAUUUAUUUAUAACCAUCUUCAAGUGUAAUGGACAUCCUGCCAGUAAGAAAAUGCAGUCAUUAAAGCAAAAUGUAUACAUUAGAAUGAAUGCAAGUAUUACACAUUAGACAAAAUGCAAAGUUAACAAUUGAAUUGGUAUAAUGUAUAAAAAAAUUAAUGCCUAUAUUACUGAUUUAUAUUUUUAUUAAGUCUACACUACACAUCUAUGCUGCAAUAUAGAGUGCGAAUUGGAGCACCCUGAAAGUAGACAAAAAUAUCUUCAAAAAUUCUGAGAAACAAAUCAUCUGGUGACAGCCUGGGGGAUAUUCUGUCCAGAAAAAGAAACAAAGGAGUUGUGUGUUGGUAAAAAUCAUGCAGCAUUGCUAAUGAAAGAGAUCUGUCUGUCUGUCUUACAGACAGGUACAACUGAAAAAAAAACGAAGACACAAACAGCUCUGCAACUUUUAUGGAGCAAAGCCAGAGCUGAUACUUCUAAGUGUGGGAAGGAACAAAUACAUGUUAACACAUUGUUGCUUUGGCAGAGAUCCCAGGGUAAAGACUGGGGGUGUUCAGGUUCAACUGGAAAAGCACAUUCAGUCCAUCACUGGAAGAAAAGGAAUUCCAUGGACUGUAAUAAGGAGCAAUGGGAGCAGAGAAUUUCAGGACCUGGGUGAUUCUUAUGAACCACGAACCCGUGGAUUAUCGAAAUGUGGAAUUCUCAAGAGCAUAAAGGACUUGCUUGAAGAUGGGUGCCAGGAAGGCACUGCUUCUGUAGACAACAUGAGGGGGAACACUGUUUAACAUAAGCGCAGCAUGGAAAUCUGCCAAGAGCUGGCAGGUAACUCUGAUCUAACUGAGAAAAGAUGAGACACGUCCAAACUGGUAUACAGAGGUUCAUUUUUCUUUACAAAAAAAAAAAAAAAUCAACAACACAACACUGUAGAGGAUAGCAAGUCAGUGAAAGAAAAGAGGGAACUGGCAGCGAGGCAACUGAGGAUCCUCUCCACCAGUAAAAAGAACCUCUCGUGAACUCACUGUAUUUCGUAUUUCUGAAGGAAAGUCUCCAGAAUACUCGAACACAAAUAGCCAUCACAAAACACUGAUGUCAGCAUCAUAAAAAUACUGUUAUGUUAAACACCUGAACUUGCUCGAGCUCACUGAGAGAAGGAAUUUGAGAAUUUAAAGCUGCCAAGUUUUGCCAGACGCUUCCUGCUCAGUUCCUCCCAGCAGUCACACCAAGCAAUGUGCCACCAGCGCGUGGGUACCCGCGUGGAGCUAUUCCUGCUCCCUCUAUGCUGCCCCACAGGUUUAGCAGCCAGCGGGACAUUCCUCAGUGCCGGCUCCAGGCAGGCUCACGCAUGGUGUGACGAAGUGGGAAGGAAAAACAGACAUCCAGUUUUUAACAAGAUAACCUUCAGGAUGCAGGCGACUUCUAAAAAUACACCGGGCUGAAUUAUUGCACCAUUUCACAAACUAAUAAACUCUUCCAAUCGAGGUCACUAGUCAUUCAUGUUUUCAAGCUGGAUGUCUUACUAUCACACUGUAUGAAGUAUUUACAGAA